Molecule: ribosomal RNA, 459 nt
Filed under: uncultured bacterium
Lineage: Bacteria
Description: bacterial SSU rRNA
Rfam family: Bacterial small subunit ribosomal RNA
Source: RNAcentral
AGAGUUUGAUCCUGGCUCAGGAUGAACGCUGGCGGCGUGCCUAAUACAUGCAAGUCGAACGGAGAUUGUAGCAAUACGGUCUUAGUGGCGAACGGGUGAGUAACGCGUUGGUGACCUGCCCCGAAGUGUGGGAUAACAGCCCGAAAGGGUUGCUAAUACCGCAUGUGGUUUUUCGGAUUAGAUGCCGGAUUUCUAAAGGAGAAAUUCGCUUCGGGAGGGGCCUGCGUCCCAUCAGCUAGUUGGUAGGGUAAAAGCCUACCAAGGCGAUGACGGGUAGGGGACCUGAGAGGGUGGCCCCCCACAAUGGAACUGAAACACGGUCCAUACACCUACGGGUGGCAGCAGUAGGGAAUAUUGGUUAAUGGGCGAAAGCCUGAACCAGCAACGCCGCGUGUGCGAUGACGGCCUUCGGGUUGUAAAGCACUUUUUGAGGGGAUGAGGAAGGACAGUACCCUCAGA